GCUGUCGCGGGAGGCUGUGACGCGCGAUCCUUCGCCGCGGCCGCCCGGACCGCGCCGAGCCACUGGCGAGCCCGACCCGCCGUGGG
This 86-nucleotide non-coding RNA is filed under the name Chloroflexota bacterium. Its description in RNAcentral is "Chloroflexi bacterium c-di-GMP sequence". It matches the Rfam family "c-di-GMP-II-GCG riboswitch aptamer". The record is from RNAcentral. Lineage: Bacteria; Bacillati; Chloroflexota.